AAAAGGUUAUUUUGUUGAAGAAUAUCUCAUAAUUUACAACUUAAGAGGAAUCUGUUUUUUAGUUGGAAAUCGCUGCCUUUUAGUACUCCCUCCAUAAACUAAUAUAAAAGCGUUUAGAUCACUAUUUUAGUUAUCUAAACACUUUUAUAUUAGUUUACAGAGGGAGUAUUAAUUAAAUCACGACACACUCCGAGGCCACCACCAAGCAUACAAACUCCGAUGGUACCUGGAACCAAGUCUUACAACUUAAGAGGAACCUACAGUAUGGCUAACAUGGCAACAUGAGCUCCACAAUAGGACACAUUUUUAUUACCAUAAACUAGCGUUUACAUGGGAUGACAUCCAAGCCACACUUGGUCAACACGAACAACACUAACUCCAGACACAUACUUAUUU
Molecule: long non-coding RNA, 396 nt
Filed under: Triticum aestivum (bread wheat)
Lineage: Eukaryota; Viridiplantae; Streptophyta; Magnoliopsida; Poales; Poaceae
Description: long non-coding RNA (TAES_LNC000440)
Source: RNAcentral